RNAcentral lists this unclassified non-coding RNA (2883 nucleotides) under Helicoverpa zea (corn earworm). RNAcentral describes it as "mismatch repair endonuclease PMS2, transcript variant X1". The record is from RNAcentral. Lineage: Eukaryota; Metazoa; Arthropoda; Insecta; Lepidoptera; Noctuidae.
AAUUACAUCUGUGGAAUUUAUUUAUAUGUCAAUGUCAAUAUGUAUGCAAGCGGGAAAACAAUGAUUUUAUUUUUGAAUUUUCCAAGAAAUGUAUCGAUUUUUGUGUAAUUUACAAGUAUAAAGUUUCAGUUCAGCCAAGUUAUGGAUAUUAUUAAGCCUAUUGCUACUGAUACAGUUCACAAAAUAUGUUCGGGACAGGUUGUGGUGAGUCUAGCAGUGGCUGUGAAAGAACUGGUGGAAAAUUCUUUAGAUGCUGGAGCAACUACUAUUGAUAUAAGAUUUAAAAAUUAUGGGAUUGAUCUGAUUGAAGUGUCAGACAAUGGUACAGGUGUUACUGAAGAUAACUUUGCUGCUUUGACUUUAAAGUAUCACACAUCAAAAUUAAGUGAAUAUUCAGAUCUACUUGGAGUGACAAGUUUUGGCUUCAGAGGAGAAGCUCUCAGUUCAUUAUGUUCACUAGCCAAUCUCACAAUCACUACAAGACAUAAAGAUUGUGAAUAUGCUACAAAAUUGGAAUAUGACCACAAAGGAAACAUAACAAAGCAAUCACCAUGUUCAAGACAAGUUGGUACAACUGUUACUUUAACAAACCUAUUUUCAUCUCUACCAGUAAGACAAAAAGAAUUUCACAAAAAUGCCAAAAGGGAGUUCAAUAAAAUGACACAACUACUGUAUGCAUAUUGUUUGAUAUCAGUUGGAGUAAAAAUUACUUGCUAUAAUCAGACAAGCUCCAAUCCUAAGUCACUUGUUGUGGGAACACAAGGUCAAGGUUCGUCUUACAAAGACAAUAUAGCAAGCGUCUUUGGAGUGAAACAACUGCAAACAUUACUUGAAAUAAAACCUGAAUAUGGCACAAAUAUAAAAGAUAACAUUUUCAAAGGUUUAUCAGGAGAAGUUCAAGAGAACAAUGAAACGGCUGAAAUAGAGGAUAUUGAAAUUGAUUUAUCUGAAGAUUCAAAUGAUGCAGAUAAAGCUGAUGCAACUAACAAUGACAUAAAUGCUUCACAAAAGUCUCAGGGUCAUAAAAAUAUUGUAAAACCAAUAGAGUUUACAGGUUUUAUCUCUUCUUGUGCACAUGGCAGUGGACGCUCAAGCACAGACAGGCAGUUUUACUAUGUCAAUUCUAGACCUUGUGAGCCAACCAAGAUUAUCAAAGUCAUUAAUGAAAUAUACAGACAGUAUAAUUCAAAUCAAUACCCUUUUGUAUUCUUGAAUGUUGAAAUGGAAAGAACAACCGUUGAUGUAAAUGUGACUCCAGAUAAACGUAAAAUAUUCCUCACAAAAGAGAAAAUUAUAAUGGAUAUACUGAAAAACUCCUUGGUAAAACUGUUUGAAACUAUACCUAGCACAUUAAAGAUAGAAUCAACUCCUAACUUUUGCAUUAAAGAAAGUAAAGAUGUCAAACCAGAAUUGAAACAAGCAAGAGUUUUCAAUUCUUUUUUGCAACAAUUUCAAAAUAAAACAAAGCUUGCUAAUAGUGUGUCUACAGAUGAUAAUGAAUCAACAAAAGUUGAACUCAAGCGAAAAUCGACAACAAUGCUAGAUUUCGUCUCAUCAAAAACCAAGAAAACAGAUUUUAUAAAAGUAGAAGAAGAUUUCGAAGAAACUGUUGAUCAAGAAGAAGAAGUUGAAGAUAAGAACAAUGAAUCAGCUGACAUCCUUGAAUCUGAAGAUGAAGAACUAGAGAGUUGCGAUUCGGUAAAGCAGAAUGAUAAUACAAGGGAAAUUAAUGAAAAUAAAGUCAUAGAUGUUGAUAACAAAUCAUCUGCAGAAGAUGAUAACAAAUCAUCCGCAGAAGAUGAUAACAAGUCAUCUGCAAAAGAUGAUAAAAAGAAAAUAAUGUAUUUAGAUUUUACUGAAGAUUUGCCUACUACACAAAUCAGAGAUCUUUCUAAUGUUGUUAUAGAGAAGUCCUACACAACAAAUUGUAAUAUGAAAGCCAUAAAAACAAAAGCUAAUACUUCUUCAUGUGAGGUCAAAGAAAGAACACCUAAAAAGCAGAAAAUUGUAACAGAUAAGGAAGAUUUAGGAAAAAAUAAUAGAAAAUCUGUAAUUCUAAACACAUCUCUAGAACAUGUUAAGGCAUUAACAAGUAUGUAUGUAAACAAUAAGAGGGAAUCAGCUCCAACAAGGGUCAAGUUUAAAAGUGAAAUAAAUCCUGUAUUCAACAAAAAAUGUGAGGAAGAAUUGACUAAGGAAAUAUCUAAAGACUCGUUCAAAAAAAUGCACGUCAUUGGACAGUUUAAUUUAGGUUUCAUAAUUACGCAAUUGGAAGAUGAUCUUUUUAUAAUUGAUCAACACGCUACAGAUGAGAUUUAUAAUUUUGAAACAUUACAGAAAACUACAGAGUUAACUAGUCAAAAAUUGGUAAUCCCACAGCAACUUGAACUAGCUGGAGCGAAUGAACAAAUAUUGAUGGAUAACUUGGAUGUUUUCAAGAAGAAUGGUUUUACUUUUGAAAUCAAUGAAGAAGCCUUGCCAACAAAGAGGGUAAAGCUUUUGACAUUACCCAUGUCAAAAAAUUGGAUUUUUGGGAAGGAAGAUAUAGAAGAGCUGUUAUUUAUGUUAAGGAAUAUUGCAGACCUAGUAGGGUAAGAGCAAUGUUUGCAUCCAGGGCUUGUCGGAAAUCAGUAAUGAUAGGCACAGCACUGAGCAAAGCAGAUAUGAAGAAGCUUGUUGACCACAUGGCUGAAAUAGACAAACCAUGGAAUUGUCCACAUGGCAGACCUACAAUUCGACAUUUAGUAAAUCUAGCUAUGGUCCAUACGAAGGACAGGCUUGACACCUGAUUUUGUGGUAUUUUACGAGUAUUAAAAUCAAUCUCAAUGAUGUUACUAUAUAUUUCAAUUAAUCAUGAAGAUAAUAAAACAAUAUUGAAUUAAA